UNCUUUGGAGGUAAAUCUGCCUCAAGGAUAUUAAAUAGCCGCAAAUUUAUUUGGUGCUAAGGUAGCAUAAUCACUCGUCUUUCAAUUGAAGACUAGAAUGAAAGAUUCAACAUUUCAAUAAUUUUCUUAUAUCUACCAACAAAAUUAUUCUAAAUGUUAAAAAACAUUUAUAAUUAAGAAAGACGACAAGACCCUAUCGAACUUAACUAUAAGUUUAAGCUGGGGCAGCUAAUUAAUUAUAAUUUUAAUUCAUAUUCAAAUAAUAAUAGACCCGAUAUCAUCGAAUACGUGAUCAAGUUACCGUAGGGAUAACAGCGUUAUCAUUCUAAAAAGCUCUUAUUAAAAGAAUACGAUUGCGACCUCGAUGUUGAACUAACUUACCUAACCCACGCAACCGUGGAGUUAGUUAGUCUGUUCGACUAUUAAAAAGUUACAUGAUCUGAGUUCAAACCGGAGAG
RNAcentral lists this ribosomal RNA (458 nucleotides) under Uroctea lesserti. RNAcentral's name for it is "partial 16S ribosomal RNA". It matches the Rfam family "Bacterial large subunit ribosomal RNA", at positions 1891 to 2623 of the family's 2925-position model. Lineage: Eukaryota; Metazoa; Arthropoda; Arachnida; Araneae; Oecobiidae. The record is from RNAcentral.